Molecule: non-coding RNA, 1898 nt
Organism: Podarcis lilfordi (Lilford's wall lizard)
Lineage: Eukaryota; Metazoa; Chordata; Lepidosauria; Squamata; Lacertidae
Source: the annotation of a GenBank genome assembly
AAGCAGCACGGGCAGCAGCAACCCCUGCUACAACGAGACCCCUGGUGUCCAUACAGGCAGGGAUUCAGUGACCACACAAACCCCUGUCAUGUUCCUCAGAAACCAGUGGGGUAUAGUGCUUAAGGUACUGGGGCUUGAACCUCACUUGGCCAUGAAGCUCAGUGGGUGGCCUUGGGUCAGUCACCAUCUCUUAGCCUAAGCCUACCUCACAGGGUUGUUUUGAGGAUAAAAAAGGAAGAGGGAGAAGGCUGUAUGCCACUUUGAGCUCCUCAGAAGAAAUAAUAACAAUGAUGAUGCUGAUGGUGGUGGUAGUAGUAGUAGUAGUAGUGGUAGUAGUGGCAGUGUUUUGGAGUCCAACACAAAAAGGAAGGAAGGAGAGCGAAGUAUUAGUACCACUCUAUUCUGCCUUAGUCAGACCACACCUGGAAUACUGCCUCCAAUUCUGGAUACCACAAUUUAAGUGGGAUAUUGACAAGCUGGAGUGCGUGGAGAGGAGAGCAACCAAGAUGAUCAAGGGUCUGGAAACCAGGCCUUAUGAGGAAUAAUUGAAGGAUCUGCUUAGCCUGGAAAAGAGGUGACUGAGAGGAAAUCGGGUAGCCAUUUUCAAAUAUCUGAUGGGCUGUCACAUGGGAAAGGGAGCAAGCUUGUUUUCUCCUGCUUCAAGUUCCAAGAAAGGAGAUUCCAACCAAACACCAGAGAAACCUUUUUGACAGUGAGAGCUGUAUGGCAGUGGAAUGGUCUUCUUCAGGAAGUUAUGGACUCUCCAUGUAACACAGGACCCACAUAACUCCCUGAGCAGGAGGACUGGGCAAAGCGCACACUGUUUUCCUGGGACAAAGAUUGAAGACCUACCCAAGGAGGCAAAGACCUUUUCGCCUGUAAGCCAAGGGAAGCCAAAGAUAAACACCGACAGCAGCCUCACCAAACAGGACAUGGGAUUGGGAGCAGGGGCAGAUUUAGGUUUGAUGAGGCCCUAAGCUACUGAAGGUAAUGGGGCCCUUUAUAUGUCCAGCAGUCCUUUGUCAACAACAAAUUGUCACCUUUUUUUGCGUUGAAUAUAUGCUAUAUGGUAAUUUAUGGACCUAAUAGGUUAGGUAUCUAAAGCCAUUUUAUUUGUUUUUUAUCUUAUAUUGUUGAACUGUACAUACAGGUUUUUUUCCUUUAAUUUUUUUGGGGCCCCCAGGAGAGUGGGGCCCUAAGCUAUAGCUUGCUUAGCUUAUACGUAAAUCUGGCACUGAUUGGGAGACAGGAGAUGGGAGUUCAAACCUCAUUGGGGUGGGGGGUGGAGGGCAAACAUGCCCCCAUUCAACUGUGGCAUGUCUACAAAAUCCCACAGAGCGGCCUCAGCAGUGAGGCACAGCCGCAGACAGCACUUAAUCACCUCAUGGAGUGUUGUGGGCUGCUGCGAGAACAGACUGAUGAACCAGAUUCGCUCUGGGCCUGAUCCAGCACAACUCUCUUGCUUAUGUUUAUUUGACUUUUUCCCCCAGCCUCAGCACUGAGUCACAGACACCUGGAUGAGCCCUAAGUAAAACAGCUCACGUUGCACAAAUGGUGGUAUAGGCCGGGCUGAGAGACAUUUAAAGGUGAACCUACCUAAUUCAUACUUUCCAGAGCGAGAUGUGAACUGAAACGCAACCAACUUCACGCAGUGCUGUUCUCCAACCAAGUAAUGCUUACCAAAAUGCAUGUGCUAAGCGGAGGGCGCAUAUAAAUGCAUAUAUUAGUGGAAAUAGCGCACACAAAUGACAAAGUGUUUUCCCAUCAGGCAAAAUGAUAUACGAAAUGGCGUAUAUUAGGAGAAAUGAACAACAGAAUGUUAUUGAGGACUUUUAUUCUUUUCUUAAGCAAGCUGAUGUGGAGAACGGAACCUCAGAUUUGAAAAACGAGAAACGGAG